AGCGAACGCUGGCGGCAGGCUUAACACAUGCAAGUCGAGCGGGCAUCUUCGGAUGUCAGCGGCAGACGGGUGAGUAGCACGUGGGAACGUACCCUUCGGUUCGGAACAACUCUGGGAAACUGGAGCUAAUACCGGAUACGCCCUUAUGGGGAAAGGUUUACUGCCGAAGGAUCGGCCCGCGUCUGAUUAGCUAGUUGGUGGGGUAACGGCCUACCAAGGCGACGAUCAGUAGCUGGUCUGAGAGGAUGAUCAGCCACACUGGGACUGAGACACGGCCCAGACUCCUACGGGAGGCAGCAGUGGGGAAUAUUGGACAAUGGGCGCAAGCCUGAUCCAGCCAUGCCGCGUGAGUGAUGAAGGCCUUAGGGUUGUAAAGCUCUUUUGUCCGGGACGAUAAUGACGGUACCGGAAGAAUAAGCCCCGGCUAACUUCGUG
Molecule: ribosomal RNA, 435 nt
Filed under: uncultured bacterium
Lineage: Bacteria
Description: partial 16S ribosomal RNA
Rfam family: Bacterial small subunit ribosomal RNA
Source: RNAcentral